This is a non-coding RNA of Arachis ipaensis, 659 nucleotides long. NCBI's taxonomy places the organism in Eukaryota, Viridiplantae, Streptophyta, Magnoliopsida, Fabales, Fabaceae. The record is from RefSeq and is a predicted model, not a curated record.
AGUUAUAUUUUGACUCAAGACAGGACCUAAUUGUUUGUUGUGCCUUUUUUUAUAAUUAAAGUUUAUUGUAAUUUAUCUUUUGUUUAUUCAACAUAGCAAGCAGUGACUCUUACUUCAUAGCUACUUAGAAUUACAUAUUCAAUCCAACCUUGGAGCACGCUAUGAAAACUCUCUUGUCGUUGAACUGGAUAUUGCAGCACGGGAGGAAUUCAAACUCAUAGAACAUGGCCUUGAACGACUAUGAGACAGAAUGUCUCGAGACAAGAUUCAAAAGGAAUCUAAAAAACCGGGGGAGGUGGUUCCAGAUUCAAUGGAGGAAGAGGACGUUGUCUCCUCCGAUAGUUCUGAUGAGGCUGAUUCUGCUGGACGAAAGGCUUCUAUGCUGUCAUAUGACCUCAAUAAGAUGCCAGAAGAGAAUGAAUAACCUUAUAGUGGAAUGUCUCCUGGGAAGAAGAAUGCGUGACACUUGGCUAUGUGGGCUAAACGAUACUUGAAACCUUAAGGAUAGUGCAGUAGUUUAGAUGAAGAAUUUGGGUCUAGGUUGUAUAGGAUAGCCGAGACGUAUUUGUUGAAUUUGUCUUGACUUUAUAACUGUUCAGUAUCUUAUGAGGAAUUGUUAUUAUGCUACAUUGAAGGCUAUUGGUCUCCCAUCUUUCUUA